Molecule: non-coding RNA, 628 nt
Organism: Cricetulus griseus (Chinese hamster)
Lineage: Eukaryota; Metazoa; Chordata; Mammalia; Rodentia; Cricetidae
Source: RefSeq, a predicted model, not a curated record
AUAGUGACGCCAAUACCAUUCCAUGUUCUGGCAAGAGGACAAGAUGUUCUCCCCUUUGCUCCUGGAGUCAGAACUACUCACCUAACAUGAAGAUGCAGAUGUGGGAAUAACUGAGUCAGAUCUAAUGACAGGACCUGGUCCCAGGAAAUCUUGCCUCAUCUCUCUACUGUUUUCAUCAGAUAUUUGAUAACCAAUUGCUCACAUGAAAAGUAGCUUUGUUAUCUGAUAACCACAAUUCAAAUGUGAAGAGGAUGAAUUCUAGCUGAGAUAGUUCAAAAGUAACAUGUGGAGACCAUUGCAGACCACAAUCAACCAGAAUGCAGAAUAGUGGAGCCCAGUCCCAGUGGGUACAUCUACAGAACACUCCUGCACUUAAGGAAGAGGAGACAGAAAGAUUCUAAGAACCAAAGGACCAGGGAGUUUCCCAUGAGACUAUGUCUUCUAGCAAUGUAUGAUCUAUACCCAUGAAGUCACCAACAUGACUGCAUAAACAAGAGAUGAACACGGACAACAACCAUAGACAAGCCAGAGUAGAUAGAGAAAUCCCAUGAGGCCUCAACCCUAUGCAAAGAAUUAAAGUCAACUAAGGAAUUCUGAAAGCAGGAGAAAUGGUCUCAUCUAGGGAAGA